Sorghum bicolor (sorghum) is the source of this 1905-nucleotide long non-coding RNA. RefSeq lists it as uncharacterized. The record is from RefSeq and is a predicted model, not a curated record. Lineage: Eukaryota; Viridiplantae; Streptophyta; Magnoliopsida; Poales; Poaceae. The transcript has 7 exons.
AAAUUUCAGGAACUAAACAAGGCCUAUGUGUUUUCCUGCUUGCCGUCCUCGUUGCCGUUGUCGUGCACGCCGCCGUUACUGCACCCGCCGCUGCACCGCGUCUGCUGGUCGGCGUCCCGCGUGGUGAGUUCCUCUCCUGCCUUCUUUUCUCUUGCCCCUUCCUUUCUCCUUUCCUCGAAGCACGGGAUAGGCUCGAGGCGACGGUUCCUACUGCGGGCGGCUCCCUCCCUUCCCCCGACCCCCGGCCCUGCGGCGCGGGUGGCACUGCCGGCGGCCGCGGCCGCUCCACCCUUCCGCGCGAUCUCGUGCAGAUGGUCGGCGCUUCUCUGCUCUUCCUCGAUCUGUCCACUCUAUCCUCUCUCUCUGCUCCGCGUAUGCGGGCGCCGGCGGCGGCCACGGGCCACUCCACUCCUCCGCGCGAGCUUGUGCAGAUGGUCGGCGCGGCUUUGCUCUCCAUCGAUCUGUCCGCUCUGCCCUCUCCCCCUGCUCCGCGUAUGUUCGUGUGCUACAGGUAACCCUACCUGCUUGGGCUACAAGGUCACGACCGCCCGGCACCGCCCCCACCCACGGCAACGGUGUCCUACUCCCAGUGAGGCGCUCGCCGGUGAUAGUAGCGGCGCCCACCAGGCCGCUGUCCCUCCGGUGACUGCGUGGACGACGAGCAGGACCAUUGGAGCGGCAACUUUAAUAGGAGGUCAGAUAGAGACUGAUAACAGUGUCUGGCAAAAGUAUCCUUUGAAUUGGUGUUCAUAAAGCAGAGGCCCAACUACACCUUCCAGAUAUAUAGAGGUAUGGCCACUCAUUUGAAUUUAUAGAUGAACGCAGGGGGCAGAGACAGGACAACAUAGAAGUGCUUGUACUCAUUUUUAAAUUUGUACAUGUUAUUAUGCUUGUUAUCAGAAGCUGCAAAUCAAUCCUUUUGUUGUUUGUUCAAUAUGCUGAGAGCUUGCAUAAAAUUUCUUUGAAAUUUAUUUUUCACGCCUCUAUUUAACCCUAUAUGAUGGCUUCUGCGUUCAUUCUCCUUAAUCUUAGUUUUGUUAUUUCUUUUUCCUAGCAGGCCAUGUAGUUCGACUAUAAAGAUGCCAAGCAUGCGAGUUGCAUCUUGAAAUUUAAAUGUUGAUGUUCCAAAGGAAAAGAUCAGUGACUAGAUAAUGAAGUUUAUGCAUGCUAUUUAAAAUUUUAUGGUCUUAGUUAGCUAUGGUUGCAUCAUGCUGAACAUGUGGUCAAUGGAAUAUCCACAGGAAACAUGAUCAUCUUCUAGCCAUCGAUAUAUGUCAUACGAUUAGUUUCAAGGACUGUAAACAGGUUAUGAUCAGCAUGGAACUACUCCUUUAUCUUCCUCUAUGUACUGUUUUGGAAAGCGAUCGACGACAUUGCCAUUCACUAGCAAUCUUAUGAUCAGAGUGGGGAGGCAAACUUCUCAGUUUUGAGGAUUGAGGUUUGAUCUUCCAAGGAUAUUUAGACUCUUCUCUAGAAUUAAUAGUGGCUUGCCACCAGUAUCCAAAAUAUUCUAGGAGAAUCAGAAGAGAUGUCGUAAGGAUGUUGGAAUUGAUAUGGAUCAUGCUAUUUUCCCUUUACAAAUGACUUGGUAUGUCAGGAAACAAAAAAGGCCUACCGUUGUAAUCCUCCCGUGAGCAGCAUUCUAUGGCAUCCCUCCCGACGAAGAGCAGCCGCGUCGCAACCUAUGGUAGACGAGCGGAGCGUCGUGGCCAUGCCUUAUGAAUUAUUUGCCUACGACAUGUUUAUAGACCCAUUAAUCUAUUGGUACUACAAGCCUUUGCUCAUAUAUUUUUCUGUGACCUUUGUGUUUACAUCCCUCUGCCAUGUUCUAAACAAAGCAUUUGUGUACAAAUUUGUUCCUGGUGAGUCUAAGCUAAUGCAUAUUGCCACUGCAUUUCAAAUUGA